AAGUCGUAACAAGGUAACCGUAGGUGAACCUGCGGUUGGAUCAUUAAAAAAAUAUCAUUUGUCCCUUCCUCUCGGGGAAGGAUGAAUGAAAACAUUGUGUGCACUGUAUCUGUCUCUGGCAAAGAUUUCCUUGAUUUCAAACGGAGUGCGGGAUUCCCUUACUCCUUUGGAAUGUGAUGGGGCCUUUGCCGACUUGUUUCUCAACCUUAUUUUAUUUUGUGUCUGAAAUUGUCUUUUUCUGAAAAGAAAGGAAAAUUGAAAACAACUUUUGACAACGGAUCUCUUGGCUCUC
RNAcentral lists this unclassified non-coding RNA (292 nucleotides) under fungal sp. RNAcentral's name for it is "partial internal transcribed spacer region". The stretch from base 1 to 46 matches the Rfam family "Eukaryotic small subunit ribosomal RNA", at positions 1786 to 1831 of the family's 1831-position model. The record is from RNAcentral. Lineage: Eukaryota; Fungi.